UUCAUGAUUUGUAAUAUACAAUCAAUUUUUUUAGAGACACAUCAACAUCAUUUAUAGAUAAAAAAGAAGUCUCAGAUGAUAUCACGUGUACCGUCGAUGUAGCUGCUUAUAGAAAAAUAAAAAAUCAAUUAAUGCAAGAAAAAAGAAAAAAUUUUAAUUUAAAACGAAUGGUUUCCCGAAUGAGACAACGAAAGGACUUAUUAAAAAAACAAAAUAUCGCUUUAAGGAAGAAAAGUGAAGAUAAGUGUAUUGAAAAUAAACUAUUACAUUAUACAUUAGGACCAAUAUGAAAGGCAGUUUAUUCAAAAUUAGUUUCUAAAAGAAAAAAGACGGUACACCAAAAGGAAAUACGAAUUUUUGCUUCUACCGUCGCGUUUUUAUUAUCUAAAGCGUACAAUUAUGUACGAAAUACGUUUCCGUCAUUACCACAUAAAAGAAUACUCCAAAAAUGGCUACAUAAUGUAGAUAUUGAACCAGGAAUUUGUCAAGUAGCUAUAAAUAUAAUAAGGGAAAAAUGUAUUGCAGCUAAAAAACAAGAACAAAAACUA
Molecule: long non-coding RNA, 548 nt
Organism: Agrilus planipennis (emerald ash borer)
Lineage: Eukaryota; Metazoa; Arthropoda; Insecta; Coleoptera; Buprestidae
Exons: 2
Source: RefSeq, a predicted model, not a curated record